Molecule: ribosomal RNA, 1038 nt
Filed under: 'Hishimonus phycitis' 16SrVI phytoplasma
Lineage: Bacteria; Bacillati; Mycoplasmatota; Mollicutes; Acholeplasmatales; Acholeplasmataceae
Description: bacterial SSU rRNA
Rfam family: Bacterial small subunit ribosomal RNA
Source: RNAcentral
CCUAGCAAUAGGUAUGCUUAGGGAGGAGCUUGCGUCACAUUAGUUAGUUGGUGGGGUAAAGGCCUACCAAGACUACGAUGUGUAGCCGGGCUGAGAGGUUGAACGGCCACAUUGGGACUGAGACACGGCCCAAACUCCUACGGGAGGCAGCAGUAGGGAAUUUUCGGCAAUGGAGGAAACUCUGACCGAGCAACGCCGCGUGAACGAUGAAGUAUUUCGGUACGUAAAGUUCUUUUAUUAGGGAAGAAUAAAUGAUGGAAAAAUCAUUCUGACGGUACCUAAUGAAUAAGCCCCGGCUAACUAUGUGCCAGCAGCCGCGGUAAUACAUAGGGGGCAAGCGUUAUCCGGAAUUAUUGGGCGUAAAGGGUGCGUAGGCGGUUAAAUAAGUUUAUGGUCUAAGUGCAAUGCUCAACAUUGUGAUGCUAUAAAAACUGUUUAGCUAGAGUAAGAUAGAGGCAAGUGGAAUUCCAUGUGUAGUGGUAAAAUGCGUAAAUAUAUGGAGGAACACCAGUAGCGAAGGCGGCUUGCUGGGUCUUUACUGACGCUGAGGCACGAAAGCGUGGGGAGCAAACAGGAUUAGAUACCCUGGUAGUCCACGCCGUAAACGAUGAGUACUAAACGUUGGGUAAAACCAGUGUUGAAGUUAACACAUUAAGUACUCCGCCUGAGUAGUACGUACGCAAGUAUGAAACUUAAAGGAAUUGACGGGACUCCGCACAAGCGGUGGAUCAUGUUGUUUAAUUCGAAGGUACCCGAAAAACCUCACCAGGUCUUGACAUGCUUCUGCAAAGCUGUAGAAACACAGUGGAGGUUAUCAGUUGCACAGGUGGUGCAUGGUUGUCGUCAGCUCGUGUCGUGAGAUGUUGGGUUAAGUCCCGCAACGAGCGCAACCCUUAUUGUUAGUUACCAGCACGUAAUGGUGGGGACUUUAGCAAGACUGCCAGUGAUAAAUUGGAGGAAGGUGGGGACGACGUCAAAUCAUCAUGCCCCUUAUGACCUGGGCUACAAACGUGAUACAAUGGCUGUUACAAAGGGUAA